This is a long non-coding RNA of Acanthopagrus latus (yellowfin seabream), 519 nucleotides long. RefSeq lists it as uncharacterized. NCBI's taxonomy places the organism in Eukaryota, Metazoa, Chordata, Actinopteri, Spariformes, Sparidae. The record is from RefSeq and is a predicted model, not a curated record. The transcript is spliced from 2 exons.
GCCAGUAGUAAUGUUAGUGAGUAGUAGUAGUAGUGAGCGUCUUCGAAACUGUCUUGUCUGCAACUUGAAAAUGGAUAAGAGGAAAAAACACCCAGGUGGAGCUGAGAGACAGCUAUUAAAAAAGUUGAAGUCUCUGGAGGUGGAGGCUUCUAAAUGUGCGAAGUUGACGGACCUUUUUGGUGCCGGGACCACCAAGCCGCCAGCAGCCACAGGUGCUGCUGCACCGGGAGAUGACGGAGGAGGACCUAAUGAUGAUGAGCGAGUGAAGACAGACACGUGGUGUGUAUGGCAAGGGGCUGGAGCUGUCACCUUCUGCUGAAUCAUCUGGGUCUGAGGCUCCUCCAUCCUCUCCGGAUAGGCUGAGGUUGUCUGGUGUGUUUUCAUCACCACCAUCGAGAUCACCAAGGGAACCUGCGGGAGAAAGAGUUGUACUUAUAUCAGUUAGGUCCACUGUAUUCUGCUCCCCUGAGGAUAACUUAGAUUCCAAUGACAUCUGAAUAAAGAAAAAGGGAAAAUGAA